Mustela lutreola (European mink) is the source of this 857-nucleotide long non-coding RNA. RefSeq lists it as uncharacterized. The transcript has 2 exons. NCBI's taxonomy places the organism in Eukaryota, Metazoa, Chordata, Mammalia, Carnivora, Mustelidae. The record is from RefSeq and is a predicted model, not a curated record.
CCAGAGGACGGGAAUACAAAUGGUGGCCUCCUGGUCUCCGGCUUGAAGGAGCCGAGAGCCCAGGGCCCCACUCCUCAGUGCGCCCUCAGAGAACAGCGCCCAGUCACUCCCGUCUGCCUGACCUCCGGCCGCGCUCCGAGCUCACCGAGCCUGCGACCGGUUCAAGGUUGGUUCAAAUUCCUCUUCUGCUUGGACCUGAGUGUACACCAACUCCAUCCCAGGAUGCAAUGGAAGAUGCGGAGGAGGGAGCCAACAUGGUGGACAAGGACGCUCUUCUCGCUUCUCUUGGGUGAUGUCUCUACAGUGUAGCUUCAUUAUUGAAGCACAUCUCACCCAAUACAAAACCACACACCCAAAUGUGUUCCAAACGUAACUAUGCACUAUUUUCAGACUCUCAACUAUUUGAGACUCUCCAUACAUCUGCUUCCCUCUCCACUAUUAGAAAUGAUCAAGACUUGACUCUUUGUAAUUCCACAAAAUUCUCUUGUUUGUUCCCAAUUCUGCCUCCUCUUCCUGCUGUAUUUUCACAGGAUAAUGUAAAACAAAGUGACAGUGAAGUGAGGAAGGUCUGGUUCUAUCUGUGAAGCUAAUCGAAUCCUCCCAAGGCGGUUGCCUACAGCAUCCUGACCCUUGCUGGGAAUCUUCAAUAUUGCGAUGAAAAGUGCAAAUUGUAGUUCAAAUACGUCUUUGCUCUAAGUGCAUUGGGUCAUUUACCUUAACAAUGUGAAUGUGCUCUCAUUAUCAUGUUCAACUUGAUUAGUGUAUGGUCUAACAUUUAAAAGUGCACUUCAGAUAAAAGAAUGUAUAAAUGCAUGAUUGGUUCCUAAUAAAUUGAGCAACCCCUUAGUGAACUGUGA